UACGGAGGGGGCUAGCGUUGCUCGGAAUUACUGGGCGUAAAGGGCGCGUAGGCGGACUUUUUAGUCAGGCGUGAAAGCCCCGGGCUCAACCCGGGAACUGCGUUUGAUACUGGAAGUCUAGAGUUCUGGAGAGGGUGGUGGAAUUCCCAGUGUAGAGGUGAAAUUCGUAGAUAUUGGGAAGAACACCGGUGGCGAAGGCGGCCACCUGGCCAGAUACUGACGCUAAGGCGCGAAAGCGUGGGGAGCAAACAGG
RNAcentral lists this ribosomal RNA (253 nucleotides) under uncultured prokaryote. RNAcentral describes it as "partial 16S ribosomal RNA". It matches the Rfam family "Bacterial small subunit ribosomal RNA", at positions 524 to 776 of the family's 1533-position model. The record is from RNAcentral.